RNAcentral lists this ribosomal RNA (1113 nucleotides) under Candidatus Phytoplasma citri. RNAcentral's name for it is "bacterial SSU rRNA". It matches the Rfam family "Bacterial small subunit ribosomal RNA", at positions 222 to 1343 of the family's 1533-position model. The record is from RNAcentral. Lineage: Bacteria; Bacillati; Mycoplasmatota; Mollicutes; Acholeplasmatales; Acholeplasmataceae.
AGGAGGGGCUUGCGCCAUAUUAGUUAGUUGGUAGGGUAAUGGCCUACCAAGACGAUGAUGUGUAGCUGGACUGAGAGGUUGAACAGCCACAUUGGGACUGAGACACGGCCCAAACUCCUACGGGAGGCAGCAGUAGGGAAUUUUCGGCAAUGGAGGAAACUCUGACCGAGCAACGCCGCGUGAACGACGAAGUACUUUGGUAUGUAAAGUUCUUUUAUCAAGGAAGAAAAGCAAGUGGUGAACCAUUUGUUUGCCGGUACUUGAUGAAUAAGCCCCGGCUAAUUAUGUGCCAGCAGCCGCGGUAAGACAUAAGGGGCAAGUGUUAUCCGGAAUUAUUGGGCGUAAAGGGUGCGUAGGCGGUCUAGUAAGUCAGUGGUGUAAUGGCAACGCUCAACGUUGUCCGGCUAUUGAAACUGCUAAACUUGAGUUAGAUAGAGGCGAGUGGAAUUCCAUGUGUAGCGGUAAAAUGCGUAAAUAUAUGGAGGAACACCAGAGGCGUAGGCGGCUCGCUGGGUCUUAACUGACGCUGAGGCACGAAAGCGUGGGGAGCAAACAGGAUUAGAUACCCUGGUAGUCCACGCCGUAAACGAUGAGUACUAAGUGUCGGGUUAAACCGGUACUGAAGUUAACACAUUAAGUACUCCGCCUGAGUAGUACGUACGCAAGUAUGAAACUUAAAGGAAUUGACGGGACUCCGCACAAGCGGUGGAUCAUGUUGUUUAAUUCGAAGAUACCCGAAAAACCUUACCAGGUCUUGACAUGUUUUUGCGAAACGGUAGUAAUAUCGUGGAGGUUAUCAGAAACACAGGUGGUGCAUGGUUGUCGUCAGCUCGUGUCGUGAGAUGUUAGGUUAAGUCCUAAAACGAGCGAAACCCUUAUCGUUAGUUGCCAGCACGUUAUGGUGGGGACUUUAACGAGACUGCCAGUGAUAAAUUGGAGGAAGGUGAGGAUCACGUCAAAUCAGCAUGCCCCUUAUGACCUGGGCUACAAACGUGAUACAAUGGCUGUUACAAAGGGUAGCUGAAACGCAAGUUCUUGGCCAAUCCCCAAAAACAGUCUCAGUCCGGAUUGAAGUCUGCAACUCGACUUCAUGAAGUGGAAUCGCUAGUAAUC